This 425-nucleotide ribosomal RNA is filed under the name uncultured bacterium. RNAcentral describes it as "bacterial SSU rRNA". It matches the Rfam family "Bacterial small subunit ribosomal RNA", at positions 355 to 771 of the family's 1533-position model. The record is from RNAcentral.
UAGGGAAUUGUUCGCAAUGGGCGAAAGCCUGACGACGCAACGCCGCGUGGAGGAUGAAGAUCUUCGGGUCGUAAACUCCUUUCGACCGAGAUGAAGACUUGCCGACCUAAUACGUCGGCAAGGUGACAGUAGCGGGAGAAGAAGCCCCGGCUAACUCCGUGCCAGCAGCCGCGGUAAUACGGGGGGGGCAAGCGUUGUUCGGAAUUACUGGGCGUAAAGGGCGCGUAGGCGGCCUUCUCAGUCGAACGUGAAAUCCCCGGGCUCAACCCGGGAACUGCGUCCGAUACUGGAAGGCUCGAAUCCGGGAGAGGGAUGUGGAAUUCCAGGUGUAGCGGUGAAAUGCGUAGAUAUCUGGAGGAACACCGGUGGCGAAGGCGACAUCCUGGACCGGUAUUGACGCUGAGGCGCGAAAGCCAGGGGAGCAA